This 259-nucleotide ribosomal RNA is filed under the name uncultured bacterium. RNAcentral's name for it is "partial 16S ribosomal RNA". It matches the Rfam family "Bacterial small subunit ribosomal RNA", at positions 793 to 1055 of the family's 1533-position model. The record is from RNAcentral.
GUCCACGCCCUAAACGAUGAUUACUCGACAUACGCGAUACACAGUGUGUGUCUGAGCGAAAGCAUUAAGUAAUCCACCUGGGAAGUACGUCCGCAAGGAUGAAACUCAAAGGAAUUGACGGGGUCGCACAAGCGGUGGAGCAUGUGGUUUAAUUCGAUGAUACGCGAGGAACCUUACCUGGGCUAGAAUGCUGCCUGACCGAUGCCGAAAGGUGUUUUUAUAGCAAUAUACAGGUAGUAAGGUGCUGCAUGGCCGUCGU